GAGAGUGGAAGGGAGAGUGGGAGCGCGCCCGCGAGGGAGGGGGCAGGCGAACAGAGCCCGGGAGAGGCCGUGUGAAGCGCAGGCAGCUCUCCCAGGAAGGAGGGAUGCGAGAGCGCUCGGAAAGAUAGACAAGCCGUGCGGACAGACAGACGCCUGGGAGAGACCCGAAGAGCUCGGAGGACCGCAGAGAUGGGAGACAGAAGGACGAAGAGCGAGAGGCCAUGCAGGAGAAUUGAAUGAGGAUGUGGUGGAAAUCAACACUCCUGCAUCCUUCAAGUCCUUGAUGGUGACAGUGAUCACUGUGAUCCCUCCAGCAAUGUGGUAUUGCUUUUGGUUUACUAUUUUCCUAGGCUUUGAAGAAGUAAGCCGCCAUCUUGUGAGAAGGACUACAGAGAGGACCACAUGGCC
Loxodonta africana (African savanna elephant) is the source of this 408-nucleotide long non-coding RNA. RefSeq lists it as uncharacterized. NCBI's taxonomy places the organism in Eukaryota, Metazoa, Chordata, Mammalia, Proboscidea, Elephantidae. The transcript is spliced from 3 exons. The record is from RefSeq and is a predicted model, not a curated record.